This 487-nucleotide ribosomal RNA is filed under the name uncultured bacterium. RNAcentral describes it as "partial 16S ribosomal RNA". It matches the Rfam family "Bacterial small subunit ribosomal RNA", at positions 29 to 523 of the family's 1533-position model. The record is from RNAcentral.
AUUGAACGCUGGCGGCAUGCUUUACACAUGCAAGUCGAACGGGGCAGCAAUGCCUAGUGGCGAACGGGUGAGUAAUGCAUCGGAACGUACCGUGUAAUGGGGGAUAACGCAGCGAAAGUUGUGCUAAUACCGCAUGCGUCCUUAGGGAGAAAGUGGGGAUCGUAAGACCUCACGGUAUACGAGCGGCCGAGGUCGGAUUAGCUAGGUGGGGAGGGAAAGGCUAACCAAGGGGGCGAUCCGUAGCGGGUCUGAGAGGAUGGUCCGCCACACUGGGACUGAGACACGGCCCAGACUCCUGCGGGAGGCAGCAGUGGGGAAUUUUGGACAAUGGGCGCAAGCCUGAUCCAGCCAUGCCGCGUGAGUGAAGAAGGCCUUCGGGUUGUAAAGCUCUUUUGUCAGGAAGGAAAUCCUGGUGGUUAAUACCUGCCGGGGAUGACAGUACCUGAAGAAUAAGCACCGGCUAACUACGUGCCAGCCGCCGCAGUAA